Molecule: ribosomal RNA, 253 nt
Filed under: uncultured bacterium
Lineage: Bacteria
Description: partial 16S ribosomal RNA
Rfam family: Bacterial small subunit ribosomal RNA
Source: RNAcentral
GACGAACCGUGCGAACGUUGUUCGGAAUCACUGGGCUUAAAGGGCGCGUAGGCGGACGACCAAGUCGGGGGUGAAAUCUUUCGGCUCAACCGGAAAAUAGCCUUCGAUACUGGCCGUCUAGAGGGAGGUAGGGGCGUGUGGAACUUCCGGUGGAGCGGUGAAAUGCGUUGAUAUCGGAAGGAACUCCGGUGGCGAAAGCGACACGCUGGAUCUCAUCUGACGCUGAUGCGCGAAAGCCAGGGGAGCGAACGGG